This 73-nucleotide transfer RNA is filed under the name Fasciola gigantica. RNAcentral's name for it is "tRNA-Ala". The record is from RNAcentral. Lineage: Eukaryota; Metazoa; Platyhelminthes; Trematoda; Plagiorchiida; Fasciolidae.
ACCGCGAUAGCUCAGUUGGCAGAGCAUUUGCCCGGCGAGCGAAGUGUCUCCGGUUCCAUUCCGGCUCACGAUG